UGGAGGCAGCAGUAAGGAAUAUUGCUCAAUGGCCGAAAGGCUGAAGCAGCAACGCCGCGUGAAGGAUGAAGGCCUUUUGGUUGUAAACUUCUGUAGAGAAAGAGAAAACCCCCACUCUGUGGGGAUUGAUAGUAUUUCUAAAGUAAGCCCCGGCUAACUACGUGCCAGCAGCCGCGGUAAUACGUAGGGGGCGAGCGUUGUCCGGAUUUACUGGGUGUAAAGGGUGCUCAGGUGGUCUUACAAGUCAGAGGUGAAAGCCCAGGGCUUAACUCUGGAACUGCCUUUGAUACUGUAAGGCUUGAGUAUGGAAGAGGUUGAUGGAAUUUCGGGUGUAGCAGUGAAAUGCGUAGAUAUCCGAAAGAACACCAGUGGCGAAGGCGGUCAACUGGUCCAUUACUGACACUAAAGCACGAAAGCGUGGGUAGCAAACAGGAUUAGAUACCCUGGUAGU
RNAcentral lists this ribosomal RNA (451 nucleotides) under uncultured bacterium. RNAcentral's name for it is "bacterial SSU rRNA". It matches the Rfam family "Bacterial small subunit ribosomal RNA", at positions 343 to 794 of the family's 1533-position model. The record is from RNAcentral.